UACGUAGGGUGCGAGCGUUGUCCGGAAUUACUGGGCGUAAAGAGCUCGUAGGUGGUUUGUCGCGUCGUCUGUGAAAUCCCGAGGCUCAACCUCGGGUCUGCAGUCGAUACGAGCAAACUAGAGUGUUGCAGGGGAGACUGGAAUUCCUGGUGUAGCGGUGAAAUGCGCAGAUAUCAGGAGGAACACCGGUGGCGAAGGCAGCUCGCUGGGACGGUACUGACGCUGAGACGCGAAAGCGUGGGGAGCAAACAGG
Molecule: ribosomal RNA, 253 nt
Filed under: uncultured bacterium
Lineage: Bacteria
Description: partial 16S ribosomal RNA
Rfam family: Bacterial small subunit ribosomal RNA
Source: RNAcentral